AUAACGGUCCUAAGGUAGCGAAAUUCCUUGUCGGGUAAGUUCCGACCCGCACGAAUGGCGUAACGAUGGCCACACUGUCUCCUCCCGAGACUCAGCGAAGUUGAAGUGGUUGUGAAGAUGCAAUCUACCCGCUGCUAGACGGAAAGACCCCGUGAACCUUUACUGUAGCUUUGCAUUGGACUUUGAAGUCACUUGUGUAGGAUAGGUGGGAGGCUUAGAAGCAGAGACGCCAGUCUCUGUGGAGCCGUCCUUGAAAUACCACCCUGGUGUCUUUGAGGUUCUAACCCAGACCCGUAAUCCGGGUCGGGGACCGUGCAUGGUAGGCAGUUUGACUGGGGCGGUCUCCUCCCAAAGAGUAACGGAGGAGUUCGAAGGUUACCUAGGUCCGGUCGGAAAUCGGACUGAUAGUGCAAUGGCAAAAGGUAGCUUAACUGCGAGACCGACAAGUCGAGCAGGUGCGAAAGCAGGACAUAGUGAUCCGGUGGUUCUGUAUGGAAGGGCCAUCGCUCAACGGAUAAAAGGUACUCCGGGGAUAACAGGCUGAUACCGCCCAAGAGUUCAUAUCGACGGCGGUGUUUGGCACCUCGAUGUCGGCUCAUCACAUCCUGGGGCUGUAGUCGGUCCCAAGGGUAUGGCUGUUCGCCAUUUAAAGUGGUACGUGAGCUGGGUUUAAAACGUCGUGAGACAGUUUGGUCCCUAUCUGCAGUGGGCGUUGGAAGUUUGACGGGGGCUGCUCCUAGUACGAGAGGACCGGAGUGGACGAACCUCUGGUGUACCGGUUGUAACGCCAGUUGCAUAGCCGGGUAGCUAAGUUCGGAAGAGAUAAGCGCUGAAAGCAUCUAAGCGCGAAACUCGCCUGAAGAUGAGACUUCCCUUGCGGUUUGACCGCACUAAAGAGUCGUUCGAGACCAGGACGUUGAUAGGUGGGGUGUGGAAGCGCGGUAACGCGUGAAGCUGACCCAUACUAAUUGCUCGUGAGGCUUGACUCU
This 989-nucleotide ribosomal RNA is filed under the name metagenome. RNAcentral's name for it is "bacterial LSU rRNA". It matches the Rfam family "Bacterial large subunit ribosomal RNA", at positions 1942 to 2925 of the family's 2925-position model. The record is from RNAcentral.